GGCUACACACGUGCUACAAUGGGUAGUACAGAGAGUCGCAAAGCCGUGAGGUGGAGCUAAUCUCAGAAAACUAUUCUUAGUCUCGGAUCUGUACUCUGCAACUCGAGUACAUGAAGUUGGAAUCGCUAGUAAUCGCGAAUCAGCAAUGUCGCGGUGAAUACGUUCUCGGGUCUUGUACACACCGCCCGUCACACCACGAGAGUUGGUUGCACCUGAAGUAGCAGGCCUAACCGCAAGGAGGGAUGCUCCGAGGGUGUGAUUAGCGAUUGGGGUGAAGUCGUAACAAGGUAUCCGUACGGGAACGU
RNAcentral lists this ribosomal RNA (305 nucleotides) under uncultured Fusobacterium sp. RNAcentral's name for it is "bacterial SSU rRNA". It matches the Rfam family "Bacterial small subunit ribosomal RNA", at positions 1212 to 1513 of the family's 1533-position model. Lineage: Bacteria; Fusobacteriati; Fusobacteriota; Fusobacteriia; Fusobacteriales; Fusobacteriaceae. The record is from RNAcentral.